GAUGAUUAUCUAGCUUGCUAGAUAUGAUUAGUGGCGGACGGGUGAGUAACAUUUAGGAAUCUGCCUAGUAGUGGGGGAUAGCUCGGGGAAACUCGAAUUAAUACCGCAUACGACCUACGGGUGAAAGGGGGCGCAAGCUCUUGCUAUUAGAUGAGCCUAAAUCAGAUUAGCUAGUUGGUGGGGUAAAGGCCCACCAAGGCGACGAUCUGUAACUGGUCUGAGAGGAUGAUCAGUCACACCGGAACUGAGACACGGUCCGGACUCCUACGGGAGGCAGCAGUGGGGAAUAUUGGACAAUGGGGGCAACCCUGAUCCAGCCAUGCCGCGUGUGUGAAGAAGGCCUUUUGGUUGUAAAGCACUUUAAGCAGGGAGGAGAGGCUAAUGGUUAAUACCCAUUAGAUUAGACGUUACCUGCAGAAUAAGCACCGGCUAACUCUGUGCCAGCAGCCGCGGUAAUACAGAGGGUGCGAGCGUUAAUCGGAAUUACUGGGCGUAAAGCGAGUGUAGGUGGCUCAUUAAGUCACAUGUGAAAUCCCCGGGCUUAACCUGGGAACUGCAUGUGAUACUGGUGGUGCUAGAAUAUGUGAGAGGGAAGUAGAAUUCCAGGUGUAGCGGUGAAAUGCGUAGAGAUCUGGAGGAAUACCGAUGGCGAAGGCAGCUUCCUGGCAUAAUAUUGACACUGAGAUUCGAAAGCGUGGGUAGCAAACAGGAUUAGAUACCCUGGUAGUCCACGCCGUAAACGAUGUCUACUAGCCGUUGGGGUCCUUGAGACUUUAGUGGCGCAGUUAACGCGAUAAGUAGACCGCCUGGGGAGUACGGCCGCAAGGUUAAAACUCAAAUGAAUUGACGGGGGCCCGCACAAGCGGUGGAGCAUGUGGUUUAAUUCGAUGCAACGCGAAGAACCUUACCUGGUCUUGACAUAGUGAGAAUCCUGCAGAGAUGCGGGAGUGCCUUCGGGAAUUCACAUACAGGUGCUGCAUGGCUGUCGUCAGCUCGUGUC
This 1000-nucleotide ribosomal RNA is filed under the name Moraxella sp. TP2-3. Its description in RNAcentral is "bacterial SSU rRNA". It matches the Rfam family "Bacterial small subunit ribosomal RNA", at positions 65 to 1066 of the family's 1533-position model. Lineage: Bacteria; Pseudomonadati; Pseudomonadota; Gammaproteobacteria; Moraxellales; Moraxellaceae. The record is from RNAcentral.